CCGAUAUAGAUAAUAUUUGAAGCAGAUAAGUACAUUUCGUGGAUAUUAAAAAUUUUGCUUGACUGUAAGUUGCAAGUUGUGAUACAUUGACAACCACCGCUCGUCCCAUCGUUGCUACACUGCCUCUCCAAAGAGUGGAAAUUGCAUAUAUACAACAUCAAGAUCGAUAAAAGGAAAACUCGUUUUACAUCAAUGAUAUAAGGAAGAACAAAAGGGGAAAAAUUGUUAAAAAAAUAAUAUCGUAUAUCACGCAACUAUAGAAUGAAACGAUGAUAAUAACCUUUCGGUAAUCUGCCAUCGGCCGUCAUUCUUACGAGGGCGACUUCUGCUGGUGUACCAACAAAGGCUCCAAUAGCUCCUGCUGUAGCUGCCAUCAGUGACAUUACACCAAAAUUUGGUUUGCCCACGUACUUUUCUCUGAAAAUAUUGCUCAUAAUCAAAGACAUGUAAAAAUAGAAAGAAAACAUAGUUACCCGGUCGCAAAUAAAUUAUUUUCCACUCA
Bombus huntii is the source of this 502-nucleotide long non-coding RNA. RefSeq lists it as uncharacterized. NCBI's taxonomy places the organism in Eukaryota, Metazoa, Arthropoda, Insecta, Hymenoptera, Apidae. The transcript is spliced from 2 exons. The record is from RefSeq and is a predicted model, not a curated record.